UACAGAGGUCCCGAGCGUUGUUCGGAUUCAUUGGGCGUAAAGGGUGCGUAGGCGGCGAGGCAAGUCUGGUGUGAAAUCCCGGGGCUCAACCCCGGAACUGCACUGGAUACUGCUUUGCUAGAGUACUGGAGAGGGAACUGGAAUUUACGGUGUAGCAGUGAAAUGCGUAGAUAUCGUAAGGAAGACCAGUGGCGAAGGCGAGUUCCUGGACAGUUACUGACGCUGAGGCACGAAGGCCAGGGGAGCGAACGGG
RNAcentral lists this ribosomal RNA (253 nucleotides) under uncultured bacterium. RNAcentral's name for it is "partial 16S ribosomal RNA". It matches the Rfam family "Bacterial small subunit ribosomal RNA", at positions 524 to 776 of the family's 1533-position model. The record is from RNAcentral.